GGAAAAGAUGGAGGGUCACCAAUUUGGGACAGAAGACCGAUUGAUUGGUUGGAUUUUUGCUGCUAUUGUCACGACAUGGGCUACGAUUCUCAUGAUCAGGCUGAACUUCUCAAAGCAGACCUUGCAUUCCUCGAGUGCUUGGAGAAGCCAAACAUGAGUACGCGAGGAGAUCCUCAUGUAGCUCUACUUUACAAGACUAUGUGCACAUCAGGCCUUAGGAACAUAUUGAUACCUUACAGACAACAACUCAUUACCUUACAAUCUAAGCAACUGUGUUUUGGAUUUGGAUGGCUCGGCGGUAUCAUGGAACCUGCAAAAUGCUUGAAAGAUCGUUUCGUAUGGUUACAGAAGUAGGUAUGUGAACAAUUCCCGCGCUUUCGUUAUGGUGCAGAACAAGACAUUUCUGGCAAGUCUAUUUCCAUAAUGUCUUAAGAUAAGAUAGAUGUAUAUAUGAUAUUGGAAAUGAAUGGAACUGUAGAACUCCAUUAUGGUAUAACUAGUUGUGCAGUUAUUCCACUGUUUGUAUAUUAUUAUCAGUAAACUUUGGAUCA
This 551-nucleotide unclassified non-coding RNA is filed under the name Hevea brasiliensis (rubber tree). Lineage: Eukaryota; Viridiplantae; Streptophyta; Magnoliopsida; Malpighiales; Euphorbiaceae. The record is from RNAcentral.